Molecule: long non-coding RNA, 463 nt
Filed under: Androctonus crassicauda
Lineage: Eukaryota; Metazoa; Arthropoda; Arachnida; Scorpiones; Buthidae
Source: RNAcentral
GAAAGGAAAAAAAAAGUGACAGACAAAAGGAAUACAUAUAUAAAGCAUUUUAUUUUUAUUUUUUAUUUUUGAUAAUAUUAAAUAUGCGAAUACACUUUUCAGUUUUAGUAAAAGUUGGAGUGUUUUGCACCAAAAUUGAGUUGGAAUCCAUUAUUGCCUUAGGUCGCUUUAGGUUUGUGAAUUUUCGGGGGAAUAAAACGCAUCGGUUUCUCUUGCUGUGUUGCAUCCCUCCGGGGACUGUAAUAUAUCUGUGUGAUGUCGCACCGUGUCAGGAUGACUACAAGAGUAAAUCCUUCUUGCACUUCGCCACAUGUAAGUUCCUCGAAGGCCAACCUACAUGCCAGAUUGAAUAUCUGCCAUAUUCUUUUAUCUUACGCUAAAAAUUACCUACAGGGGAAAAAUAUACGGCAACGCUAACAGCACUUAAUCGAAUUGUUAAUCUUUUAUACGAGUUACACGCUAG